This 402-nucleotide ribosomal RNA is filed under the name uncultured bacterium. RNAcentral's name for it is "bacterial SSU rRNA". It matches the Rfam family "Bacterial small subunit ribosomal RNA", at positions 61 to 507 of the family's 1533-position model. The record is from RNAcentral.
GUCGACGGGCCUUUAGGGGCAAGUGGCGGACGGGUGAGUAACGCGUGAGAAUGUGCCUUGAGGAUGGGGAUAACAAUAGGAAACUAAUGCUAAGACCCAAUAUGCCCUACGGGGUGAAAAAUGAAAAUUGCCUGAAGAGGAGCUCGCGUCUGAUUAGCUAGUUGGGGUGGUAAAAGCGCACCAAGGCGACGAUCAGUAGCUGGUCUGAGAGGAUGAGCAGCCACACUGGGACUGAGACACGGCCCAGACUCCUACGGGAGGCAGCAGUGGGGAAUAUUGGACAAUGGGCGAAAGCCUGAUCCAGCAAUGCCGCGUGUGUGAAGAAGGCCUGCGGGUUGUAAAGCACUUUCAGUUGGGAAGAUUAUGACGUUACCAACAGAAGAAGCACCGGCUAACUCCGUG